UAAUGGUUGAGUUUGGUGAUGGCUCUGAUUGAAUGCUGUUCAAGUGCUUGACACAUGCUAAUCGUACGUUUUAAUUUCUAACAUUAAGUAACUACUAUACUAAAGGUUAUUAAUUAAAAAGUGGUGUACAGGUGAGUAUAAAGAUAUAAUUCGCCGGCCUUAAAGAGAAGGUAAAUCCUUCAUAAUAAAUAAAAGGGUACAGUUCCUGCUUUAAGAGGAUGAUAAAUAUCUUCGGGAUAGGUAGUAGUUAAGGUGAUGACUUAACUAGCCGACAACUCUCGUAGUCGAAUCUGAAAGGUUGAUCGACCACAUUGGGUCUGAAAAAACCCCAAUGCAAAUUAGUACAGCAGUGAGGAAUUUUGGUCAAUGGCCUAACGGCUGAACUGGCAACUUGGAGAAGUGGCAAGUCCUAUUUUGAUCAUAUCCUAAAAGAUGAUCUAUAGGAUUGUAUUAAAAUUGAAUAAAGCUUUGUUUAUAUAUUGAUAAUGACAGUAUAUAUAUCGUGUCUUGACUAAUUACGUGCCAGCAGUCGCGGAAAUACGUAAGAGACUAGUAUUAUUCAUCUUAAUUGGGUUUAAAGGGUACCUAGACGGUCAAUAUAGCUUAUAUAAUGUUAGUACUUGACUAGAGUUUUAUAUGAGAGGGGAGUACUUGAGGAGGAGAGAUGAAAUUCUUUGAUACCAAAGGGACUCGGUAAAGGCGAAGGCACCCCUUUAGGUAAAAACUGACGUUGAGGGACGAAGGCACAGAGAACAAACAGGAUUAGAUACCCAAGUAGUCUUUGCAGUAAAUGAUGAAUGCCAUAGAUUAGAUGAAGAUUUGGUCUAUAAAUGAAAGUGUAAGCAUUCCACCUCAAGAGUAAUGUGGCAACGCAGGAACUGAAAUCACUAGACCGUUUCUGACAACAGUAGUGCAGUAUGUACUGUUUAAUUCGAUAAUACACGAAAAACCUUACCACAAUUUGUAUAAUAAUAUUACAGGAGUUGCACGGCUGUUUUCAGUUAAUGUUGUGAAACUAUGGUUUCCAUGUAAUUAACGAAAUCCCUGGCUUUAUUUUUGGAUGCGCUAGUCCCUCCGGGACCAGCAAGCUCUUAAUUUUUACUUAUUUUAGUUAUGAGGCGCAUGAAAGCGCUCUCAGAAUAAAAAAAGAGCUUGCGCCCUAAAAAAGAUUUUUAGGGCUCGCUACUACGAUAAGGCAUUAGAUCCUGGAUAUUUGGAUAGAAAAAGGGGACAAAGACAAGUCAUCAUGGCCUUUAUAUUGUGGGCUAUAAACGUGCUACAUCUUCCUAGACAAAGAGAUGCAAAAAUGUGAAUUUAAGCUAAUCUCAAAAAAUAGGAUAAAAAUUUUAAGGAUUGUAGUCUGAAAUUCGACUACAUGAAUAAGUAAUUACUAGUAAUCGUGAAUCACCAUGUCACGGUGAAUUACUCUCGGAUUGGUACUAACCACUCGUCACAUGCUGAAAAGAGCUUAUGCAAUAAGUUUGCUUUCUUAGUAAUUAGUAAAAAAAACAUGUAGGUUUUGUGUAGAUAUGUUAUCUAUGAACAGCACCAAAGCUGUCUAUUAUUGGGAAUCUUCGUAUGCGCGGUUCUAAUUAGUGUUAAGUCGAAAUACGGUUCGUGUAGUGGAAGUUGCACGGGAUUAAUUAACAUA
This 1651-nucleotide ribosomal RNA is filed under the name Ophiocordyceps sinensis. Its description in RNAcentral is "SSU rRNA". It matches the Rfam family "Bacterial small subunit ribosomal RNA". The record is from RNAcentral. Lineage: Eukaryota; Fungi; Ascomycota; Sordariomycetes; Hypocreales; Ophiocordycipitaceae.